UCCGGAAUGGUGUAAUGGUCAACAUUUGUCGCUCUCAUCAACACAGGUGAAGGCGCCGACAGGCUCGGGGUUCAAUUCCCCGUUCCGGAA
Molecule: transfer RNA, 90 nt
Filed under: Plectosphaerella plurivora
Lineage: Eukaryota; Fungi; Ascomycota; Sordariomycetes; Glomerellales; Plectosphaerellaceae
Description: tRNA-Glu
Rfam family: tRNA
About the family: Transfer RNA (tRNA) molecules are approximately 80 nucleotides in length. Their secondary structure includes four short double-helical elements and three loops (D, anti-codon, and T loops).
Source: RNAcentral